This 253-nucleotide ribosomal RNA is filed under the name uncultured bacterium. Its description in RNAcentral is "partial 16S ribosomal RNA". It matches the Rfam family "Bacterial small subunit ribosomal RNA", at positions 524 to 776 of the family's 1533-position model. The record is from RNAcentral.
UACGGAGGGUGCAAGCGUUAUCCGGAUUCACUGGGUUUAAAGGGUGCGUAGGUGGGUUGGUAAGUCAGUGGUGAAAUCUCCAGGCUUAACUUGGAAACUGCCAUUGAUACUAUCAAUCUUGAAUACCGUGGAGGUCAGCGGAAUAUGUCAUGUAGCGGUGAAAUGCUUAGAUAUGACAUAGAACACCAAUUGCGGAGGCAGCUGGCUACACGAAUAUUGACACUGAUGCACGAAAGCGUGGGGAUCAAACAGG